AGCCUACAGAGUAAACCUACACUACAGAGUAAACCUACACUACAGAGUAAACCUACACUACAGAGUAAACCUACACAACAGAGUAAACCUACACUACAGAGUAAACCUAAUCUACAGAGUAAACCUAGCCAACAGAGUAAACCUAGCCUACAGAGUAAACCUAGCCUACAGAGUAAACCUAAUCUACAGAGUAAACCUAAUCUACAGAGUAAACCUAGCCUACAGAGUAAACCUAACCUCCAGAUUACAUCUGAGUGUGUAGUGUGGGGAUUUUUCAGUGGGACAUGUUAGUAUUGUCGCUGCUCUCCUCUACACAUAGUUAUGAAGGGAGGCAUCUGGUGUUUUCUUUGGUUGAUGAUAAUAGUAACAAUCCGGCAUAGAAUCCAUUCCUGUCUGUCUCUUCAAAUAUGUCGUUGUCAUUCUUCUGGAGACCACUAGGUGGCCACACUGUAUAGGUCCAGCAGAAUGCUCUUCCUACCUUAAAGGGAGGUCAGUGGCGCAUUGUUGCUCAGUGUUGUCAGGGCUAAUGUCUCAAAGGGGUUUGUUGUAGUGUAUGCAACAUUCAGAGACUUUACAGCUACAACAUAAAUAGCGGUUUGUAUUCAGGGACACGCUUGUCUGACUCUGAUUAUGUAAGGACAUUCAGAGAAAUGUUGUCAUUUCAUUCCCUGGGUCACCCUGUGACUUGUUAGGCAGAAAGGAGGACAUUGUUAAGAUAAACAUCUCAGUGAACAAAAGAAGACAAGUAAAAUACAGAAACCUGAGCUUUCUAUGGACUUUGUAAAUGAAGGAGAAGAGCUGAAGAAAUCUGAAAGAGGACCUUGCUGCUUCCGUGAAGGACAGAGAGUUAUGGCAUGCCAUCUUUUGGAGCGUUGCGUCACCAUACGCAGUCAGCCAAAGACUGCCUGGAUCUGGAUCCACAGAACACAGUGUUGAUGUGCAGCAGUGUUCUUGUAUGUCAUGUGGCACAGUGUACAGAGAGAAGAACAUGGAGGUGUGGCCUGCCCCCCUCCAACACCUCUCUGCCAAUACGUUGGCCCCUGUGAGGCAUGUUAGAUACCGUACUACCAUCCCCUGAGACUGUGUUCCUGGUGUCAGUACAUGGGGCAUGUUAGAUACAAUACAACCAUCCCCUGAGACUGUGUUCCUGGUGUCAGUACAUGGGGCAUGUUAGAUACCAUACUACCAUCCCCUGAGACUGUAUUCCUGGUGUCAGAGACUGGUGUCAGUACAUGGGGCAUGUUGUAUACCGUACUACCAUCCCCUGGGCCUGUGCUCCUGGUGUCAGUACAUGGGGCAUGUUAGAUACCAUACUACCAUCCCCUGGGCCUGUGUUCCUGGUGUCAGUACAUGGGGCAUGUUAGAUACCGUACUACCAUCCCCUGGGCCUGUGUUCCUGGUGUCAGUACAUGGGGCAUGUUAGAUACCUUACUACUAUCCCCUGAGACUGUGUUCCUGGUGUCAGUACAUGGGGCAUGUUAGAUACCUCACUACCAUCCCCUGAGACUGUGUUCCUGGUGUCAGUACAUGGGGCAUGUUAAGUACUGCACUACCAUCCCCUGAGACUGUGUUCCUGGUGUCAGUACAUGGGGCAUGUUAGAUACCUUACUACUAUCCCCUGAGACUGUGUUCCUGGUGUCAGUACAUGGGGCAUGUUAGAUACCUUACUACUAUCCCCUGAGACUGUGUUCCUGGUGUCAGUACAUGGGGCAUGUUAAGUACUGCACUACCAUCCCCUGAGACUGUGUUCCUGGUGUCAGUACAUGGGGCAUGUUAGAUACCAUACUACCAUCCCCUGAGACUGUGUUCCUGGUGUCAGUACAUGGGGCAUGUUAGAUACCGUACUACCAUCCCCUGAGACUGUGUUCCUGGUGUCAGUACAUGGGGCAUGUUAGAUACCAUACUACCAUCCCCUGAGACUGUGUUCCUGGUGUCAGUACAUGGGGCAUGUUAGAUACCUUACUACCAUCCCCUGAGACUGUGUUCCUGGUGUCAGAGACUGGUGUCAGUACAUGGGGCAUGUUAGAUACCGUACUACCAUCCCCUGGGCCUGUGCUCCUGGUGUCAGUACAUGGGGCAUGUUAGAUACCAUACUACCAUCCCCUGGGCCUGUGUUCCUGGUGUCAGUACAUGGGGCAUGUUAGAUACCUUACUACUAUCCCCUGAGACUGUGUUCCUGGUGUCAGUACAUGGGGCAUGUUAGAUACCUUACUACUAUCCCCUGAGACUGUGUUCCUGGUGUCAGUACAUGGGGCAUGUUAAGUACUGCACUACCAUCCCCUGAGACUGUGUUCCUGGUGUCAGUACAUGGGGCAUGUUAGAUACCGUACUACCAUCCCCUGAGACUGUGUUCCUGGUGUCAGUACAUGGGGCAUGUUAGAUACCGUACUACCAUCCCCUGGGCCUGUGUUCCUGGUGUCAGUACAUGGGGCAUGUUAGAUACCUCACUACCAUCCCCUGGGCCUGUGUUCCUGGUGUCAGUACAUGGGGCAUGUUAGAUACCGUACUACCAUCCCCUGGGCCUGUGUUCCUGGUGUCAGUACAUGGGGCAUGUUAGAUACCUCACUACCAUCCCCUGGGCCUGUGUUCCUGGUGUCAGUACAUGGGGCAUGUUAGAUACCGUACUACCAUCCCCUGGGCCUGUGUUCCUGGUGUCAGUACAUGGGGCAUGUUAGAUACCGUACUACCAUCCCCUGGGCCUGUGUUCCUGGUGUCAGUACAUGGGGCAUGUUAGAUACCGUACUACCAUCCCCUGGGCCUGUGCUCCUGGUGUCAGUACAUGGGGCAUGUUAGAUACCGUACUACCAUCCCCUGGGCCUGUGCUCCUGGUGUCAGUACAUGGGGCAUGUUAGAUACCGUACUACCAUCCCCUGGGCCUGUGCUCCUGGUGUCAGUACAUGGGGCAUGUUAGAUACCGUACUACCAUCCCCUGGGCCUGUGCUCCUGGUGUCAGGUCAUUUGUUAAGGACAGGAUUUUGACAUACAUGAGCAUAUGGUUAUUUGUUUGUAUUUGUUUCUUCAUCCAUUAGACAGAAGGCCGGGAUUCAAUACAAGAUGUGUUAUAACACAGUGCACCAUAACAGGUUUUUAAAGGUCAUUUACUCUUUAGCCUGAAUAUGCAGCAUUUACAAUGAAUGCGAUCUCCGAGAACUUCUGGGAAAAUGCCUUUAAAAGGCACAUUGUCGGCUGUAUAGUGAGUGCUAUAACGCGCCUUGUGUAGAAUCCCAGCCAAGGUGUCAAAUCCAGAGUUUUGUAUAGAUACUUCCAUUGUUGAUGGAGAUAAUGUAUCAAAUUUGUAGGGUGGUUACGAGUCAUAGUCAGGCUGCCGCCAAUUCGCUACAAUAUUACCAUUAUUUGUGCAUUACCAGUUCUCUGCUAUUAAGGCCUUUUUUUGUACCUGUUGAUUGGUUUGGCUCGGGUCAUUCAUCUUGCUAUGCAUUGUUCCAUUUUGUACCAGUACAUUUGUUUACACACAGUAUGCCAGGUCAACCACUUUCAGUUUGGUUCACUGAUAAAGGAGGCCAAUUUCUUUUUUUCAUUGAAAGUUGACGCUAUGUGAGAAUGUUCCACUUAACACGUAUUGAGUGGAUUUUUGAAUGUUUGGAGAGGUAAACCUCACACACAGUUAAAUCCAUUGUCAUAGUUAUUUUUCUGAUGAUUUUCUGAUACAGUAUAUAGAUGUCCAGCGUACAGGUUAUCCAUGUUACACGAUGGACGUUUCCUUACUAAUUGUUACAUGUCAAAUUUCAGCUAGAAGGUUGGCUGUAUGGUUACACAUGUUGGUUUGGCAUGAUGCUAAUGUAACUGUCCAGUGAAAAUCUCACUUUUAAAAGUUCAUAUUCUGUUAACUCAAACCCAAAUAAUGUUGUUGAUUCAUCCUAUACUAUUAUUUGUGGCCAAAGCAUAAAUUUGAGGAGAAUAAAAAACAUGAGAAAAACCCCACCUCAAACAGACCGUUUAAAAAAGGCUUGAUAUUUCCUCAUAGAGGAUGAUGUCAUCCUCCUAAGGAGGAUGAGCUGGCCAAUCAGCGGUCUACUAGCAUUCCUAUGUUUAAUGAUGGGUAUAUGGCCACACCGUUGUGUUGUUGGGGUAUGGCCACACCGUUGUGUUGUUGGGGUACGGCCGCACUGUUGUGUUGUUGGGGUACGGCCGCACUGUUGUGUUGUUGGGGUACGGCCGCACCGUUGUGUUGUUGGGGUAUGGCCGCACCGUUGUGUUGUUGGGGUACGGCCGCACUGUUGUGUUGUUGGGGUACGGCCGCACCGUUGUGUUGUUGGGGUAUGGCCGCACCGUUGUGUUGUUGGGGUACGGCCGCACCGUUGUGUUGUUGGGGUACGGCUGCACUGUUGUGUUGUUGGGGUACGGCCGCACCGUUGUGUUGUUGGGGUACGGCCACACCAUUCCAACACAGAAAAGCUGCUGUUUAACAUGUUUAAUUAAAACAUUUUGGAAGGAAAAGUAUAUUCACUCAUUAUAUUGUAAUUCAUUAUAGGUCCUAUUUCAUAGAAACCUGGAACACUGGAUAUUACUUUAAUCCAUUUCAUGAAACUACACAAGUCUUGAAUUUUAGACAGGUAAUAUAUUCUGCUUUUUCUCAUGGUUAUGGGGACAUGUGCCUCUUUCUGUACGAUGAUGUCAUUUCUGGAAACUAUUUCUGUCCAUUUAGAUUAAAGGACCCGUUUUGUCUGAAGAGCACCCAUAGAGGCUAAAAGUUCUCUAUUGCUUCUAACCAUCAUUGUUGUCUUCAGUCUGCGCUGUAUGUCUAUGGAAUGUUCUGUAUGUCUCUGUUCUGAUCAUGUGACGAAGUCUUCCCAAUUAUAUUGUAUGUGUCAUUGGUUUUGGUGGUGGAUUUUAUCAGAUGCACAUGACACCUAAACAAUGUCCACAUUGAAUGCCUCAUUUUUUAAAAGAUCAAACAGUGUUUUUAAAUAAACAAAUAUACUAAUA
This is a long non-coding RNA of Oncorhynchus gorbuscha (pink salmon), 4947 nucleotides long. RefSeq lists it as uncharacterized. The record is from RefSeq and is a predicted model, not a curated record. Lineage: Eukaryota; Metazoa; Chordata; Actinopteri; Salmoniformes; Salmonidae. The transcript has 2 exons.